Molecule: long non-coding RNA, 1137 nt
Filed under: Olea europaea subsp. europaea
Lineage: Eukaryota; Viridiplantae; Streptophyta; Magnoliopsida; Lamiales; Oleaceae
Source: RNAcentral
AUCCAUUCUCAGUAGGGAAAAUAUGUUGUGGAACCCAAUAAAUUAGAAGUCAUUCAAGAAAUUUUGCAUAAGUUUGAAUACAGAUAUUGGUACAACAUAUCUAUAGAUUAAGCAGCUUUAGAGCCGAGCUUGACGGGGUAAAAACUUAAAAGGAUAACUCACAAAAAACUUCAUCAAAGCAAGAUCACAAAUGUGUGCCACCAAAUAAAUUGCAGUAAAAAAAGAUAAAUUCUUACUUGACAAUGGCAUGAAGUACACCGACCAACAUGUGCUAGUUAUUGGACAAUACGUACUUAGAACCUUGCUCUAGUGCAUCGCACCAAUAAUUCUUAACUUGCAAUUCAGAUGCUUCAGCUUCCAAUAUUGCUGCACUUCGAGUAUUUACCCAAUCAUAAUCACCAAACAGAACCACUUGGUUUCAUAUCAACGAGUGAAUUACCAUAUUUAUAUUCCUCAUAAGCAAAUGACAAACCUUCAAAUUGCCCAUAUAGCGGAGUUUCAUGACAUUCAUUUGAGUUUAAAAAAAUCAGUUUAUGUUCCACAACCGAAGUUUUUGGUCCAUUUGAUUUGGGAGGUAAAAGCAAUGGGACUUAUUCUGGUAGUGACUCUAAUGCAAAAUAAUCCUUCCUGCUGAUUCACUCCAGAAAGUUUAUAACCAAUGUCUAUUUCUUUGCUUCUUCCCAUGUAAUGCGAUAAAACCAUGUGGUGUAGUGGCAUAAGUAAUGGUAUUUUCUGUUCAUUUGGAGCCUUGCUGUUCUAUGUUACUGUUCAAAUAUAUUAAUUAAAGAAAAAAAUUUCAUGAGUCAGACACAAGUAUCAAAGUCCAACCUUUGCAUGGUUCCAACGCUUAAUGAAGUGCCGAGUAAUGUCCCUACAAGGUGGUCCCCCCAAAAGCACAAUGAACAUUGUGCCGUGGCAUACGAGGAUAUUUCUCUUGAUCCAGUUCGUCUUUCAUGGCAUUUUCCCAAGAAUUUGGUUCCAGUUCUCUAUAAAAUUCAAAGGAGUUAAUACAUAUAUCAGAAACACUGGACUGCUCUACAUAUCUUCUAUGUAUUUCAGAAGAAAAUCAAGCCUCGAUCAAAUAAUAAUGAUUAACAUAAUUGGCUUUUAGUUACUUACCUAGUAGGUCUACCAGUG